Molecule: ribosomal RNA, 452 nt
Filed under: uncultured Acinetobacter sp.
Lineage: Bacteria; Pseudomonadati; Pseudomonadota; Gammaproteobacteria; Moraxellales; Moraxellaceae
Description: bacterial SSU rRNA
Rfam family: Bacterial small subunit ribosomal RNA
Source: RNAcentral
AGAGUUUGAUCAUGGCUCAGAUUGAACGCUGGCGGCAGGCUUAACACAUGCAAGUCGAGCGGAGAUGAGGUGCUUGCACCUUAUCUUAGCGGCGGACGGGUGAGUAAUGCUUAGGAAUCUGCCUAUUAGUGGGGGACAACAUUUCGAAAGGAAUGCUAAUACCGCAUACGCCCUACGGGGGAAAGCAGGGGAUCUUCGGACCUUGCGCUAAUAGAUGAGCCUAAGUCGGAUUAGCUAGUUGGUGGGGUAAAGGCCUACCAAGGCGACGAUCUGUAGCGGGUCUGAGAGGAUGAUCCGCCACACUGGGACUGAGACACGGCCCAGACUCCUACGGGAGGCAGCAGUGGGGAAUAUUGGACAAUGGGGGGAACCCUGAUCCAGCCAUGCCGCGUGUGUGAAGAAGGCCUUUUGGUUGUAAAGCACUUUAAGCGAGGAGGAGGAGCUCUAGACUA